This 632-nucleotide long non-coding RNA is filed under the name Fukomys damarensis (Damara mole-rat). Its description in RNAcentral is "lncRNA (ENSFDAG00000028410.1)". Lineage: Eukaryota; Metazoa; Chordata; Mammalia; Rodentia; Bathyergidae. The record is from RNAcentral.
GCUCCUCUGGCCAAUCACCCCUCUUGGAAGCUUCUGGUGCCCCAGGCCCUCUCUGGGGUGUUGGCCGUCUCCUCGGCCCCUGGGCACCUGCCCUGGAAAUCCCACAAUCCUGAUCAUCUGGGUGCCUCAGCAAGGCGGGCCAGGCAGCCCGGGAGGCCGAGCACCCAGGGCAGCCAAGCAGCCAGGGCCCAGUGUCCCUCCCGUCCCCAGGGGAAGCAGAAGGCCAAAGCGCUAGGAGGCAGUGAAGACGCACCACUGUCCUAUGCCCGCUGGCCAGCAGGUGGCAAUGUCCCAUGUUUUAUGGCCCCGGAUGGGGUUUUUCCAAACUGCAGCUUUAAGAUCAAGGGGAAAUAAGGGUGACUGAACCUGCGACCUGGAAGGGGAAGGAAUGAAGGGAGUGAAAAUGAAUUCAGGGCUCCACACAGCUCUGCUGUGUGUGAGGCCUGUCCUGAGUAGGGAGGGUGUCGUCUCCCCCUGCCUGGACAUCUGCAGGAUGGUGGGCUGGAGCCCAGGCCAGGGACAGCAGGCUCUGUGUCGGCCUGGUUGCUCCUAUCUCCCUAGCGCUGCUCUCUUGGGCCCUGGCCUGGACACAGAGGGCGCAGUGUGGCCCAAGCCCCUCCCUGAGCCUCCUC